AGAGGGUGCAAGCGUUGUUCGGAAUCAUUGGGCGUAAAGGGCGUGUAGGCGGUCCAGAAAGUGGGGUGUGAAAGCCCUCGGCUCAACCGAGGAACUGCGCUCCAAACUACUGGGCUAGAGGAAGAUAGAGGUGAGCAGAACUGAUGGUGGAGCGGUGAAAUGCGUUGAUAUCAUCAGGAAUACCGGAGGCGAAGGCGGCUCACUGGGUCUUUUCUGACGCUGAGGAACGAAAGCUAGGGGAGCAAACGGGAUUAGAUACCCCGGUAGUCCUAGCCGUAAACGAUGAGCACUGGGCCGGAGCUCUGCACAGGGUUUCGGCCGUAGCGAAAGUGUUAAGUGCUCCGCCUGGGGAGUAUGGUCGCAAGGCUG
This 369-nucleotide ribosomal RNA is filed under the name uncultured bacterium. Its description in RNAcentral is "bacterial SSU rRNA". It matches the Rfam family "Bacterial small subunit ribosomal RNA", at positions 527 to 896 of the family's 1533-position model. The record is from RNAcentral.